AGCACGGGAGCAAUCCUGGUGGCGAGUGGCGAACGGGUGAGUAAUAUAUCGGAACGUGCCCAGUCGUGGGGGAUAACGCAGCGAAAGCUGUGCUAAUACCGCAUACGAUCUCUGGAUGAAAGCGGGGGACUCGCAAGGGCCUCGCGCGAUUGGAGCGGCCGAUAUCAGAUUAGCUAGUUGGUGGGGUAAAAGCCCACCAAGGCGACGAUCUGUAGCUGGUCUGAGAGGACGACCAGCCACACUGGAACUGAGACACGGUCCAGACUCCUACGGGAGGCAGCAGUGGGGAAUUUUGGACAAUGGGCGCAAGCCUGAUCCGGCAAUGCCGCGUGCAGGAUGAAGGCCUUCGGGUUGUAAACUGCUUUUGUACGGAACGAAACGGUCCUUUCUAAUAAAAGGGGCUAAUGACGGUACCGUAAGAAUAAGCACCGGCUAACUACGUGCCAGCAGCCGCGGUAAUACGUAGGGUGCGAGCGUUAAUCGGAAUUACUGGGCGUAAAGCGUGCGCAGGCGGUUAUAUAAGACAGAUGUGAAAUCCCCGGGCUCAACCUGGGCACUGCAUUUGUGACUGUAUAGCUAGAGUACGGUAGAGGGGGAUGGAAUUCCGCGUGUAGCAGUGAAAUGCGUAGAUAUGCGGAGGAACACCGAUGGCGAAGGCAAUCCCCUGGACCUGUACUGACGCUCAUGCACGAAAGCGUGGGGAGCAAACAGGAUUAGAUACCCUGGUAGUCCACGCCCUAAACGAUGUCAACUGGUUGUUGGGUCUUCACUGACUCAGUAACGAAGCUAACGCGUGAAGUUGACCGCCUGGGGAGUACGGCCGCAAGGUUGAAAC
This 835-nucleotide ribosomal RNA is filed under the name uncultured bacterium. RNAcentral's name for it is "bacterial SSU rRNA". It matches the Rfam family "Bacterial small subunit ribosomal RNA", at positions 71 to 900 of the family's 1533-position model. The record is from RNAcentral.